Molecule: ribosomal RNA, 232 nt
Filed under: uncultured Pseudomonadales bacterium
Lineage: Bacteria; Pseudomonadati; Pseudomonadota; Gammaproteobacteria; Pseudomonadales
Description: partial 16S ribosomal RNA
Rfam family: Bacterial small subunit ribosomal RNA
Source: RNAcentral
CGGACGGGUGAGUAAUGCCUAGGAAUCUGCCUGGUAGUGGGGGACAACGUUUCGAAAGGAACGCUAAUACCGCAUACGUCCUACGGGAGAAAGCAGGGGACCUUCGGGCCUUGCGCUAUCAGAUGAGCCUAGGUCGGAUUAGCUAGUUGGUGAGGUAAUGGCUCACCAAGGCGACGAUCCGUAACUGGUCUGAGAGGAUUAUCAGUCACACUGGAACUGAGACACGGUCCAG